UACGUAGGGUGCAAGCGUUGUCCGGAAUUAUUGGGCGUAAAGGGCGCGUAGGCGGCAAUUCAAGUCAGCUGUGAAAUCUCCGGGCUUAACUCGGAACGGUCAGCUGAUACUGCUUUGCUAGAGUACAGAAGGGGCAAUCGGAAUUCUUGGUGUAGCGGUGAAAUGCGUAGAUAUCAAGAGGAACACCUGAGGUGAAGACGGGUUGCUGGGCUGAUACUGACGCUGAGGCGCGAAAGCUAGGGUAGCAAACGGG
RNAcentral lists this ribosomal RNA (253 nucleotides) under uncultured bacterium. Its description in RNAcentral is "partial 16S ribosomal RNA". It matches the Rfam family "Bacterial small subunit ribosomal RNA", at positions 524 to 776 of the family's 1533-position model. The record is from RNAcentral.